Molecule: non-coding RNA, 72 nt
Organism: Phrynosoma platyrhinos (Desert horned lizard)
Lineage: Eukaryota; Metazoa; Chordata; Lepidosauria; Squamata; Phrynosomatidae
Source: the annotation of a GenBank genome assembly
GCCAUGGUGGUGUAGUGGUUUGAACAUUGGACUACAACUCUAGAGACCAGGGUUCAAAACCCUACUUGGUCA